Molecule: ribosomal RNA, 256 nt
Filed under: uncultured bacterium
Lineage: Bacteria
Description: partial 16S ribosomal RNA
Rfam family: Bacterial small subunit ribosomal RNA
Source: RNAcentral
UACGAAGGGGGCUAGCGUUGUUCGGAUUUACUGGGCGUAAAGCGCACGUAGGCGGAUCUUUUAAGUCAGAGGUGAAAUCCCAAGGCUCAACCCUUGGAACUGCCUUUGAUACUGGGGAUCUUGAGUCCGGGAGAGGUGAGUGGAACUGCGAGUGUAGAGGUGAAAUUCGUAGAUAUUCGCAAGAACACCAGUGGCGAAGGCGGCUCACUGGCCCGGUACUGACGCUGGAGGUGCGAAAGCGUGGGGAGCAAACAGG